GCCCCUUUAGAUACGUUAGAACUUUGUACGCAGCUUUCCCGAUUUGAGAAUAUGUGGCUGAACCAUUCUGAAGUUUUGCCAAUGGUAGAAUAUUGGUUGAAGAAUACACCCCUCCGUGGAUGGCCGGGGCACGGUUUCAUCAACAAACUUAAAGGACUAAAAGAAGUCUUAAAGAAAUGGAACAAGGAGGUUUUCGGUUGUAUUUCCACAAA
Cucurbita moschata (crookneck pumpkin) is the source of this 212-nucleotide long non-coding RNA. RefSeq lists it as uncharacterized. The record is from RefSeq and is a predicted model, not a curated record. NCBI's taxonomy places the organism in Eukaryota, Viridiplantae, Streptophyta, Magnoliopsida, Cucurbitales, Cucurbitaceae. The transcript is spliced from 2 exons.